UUGGCUCAGGAUGAACGCUGGCGGCGUGCUUAACACAUGCAAGUCGAGCGAAGCACUCUGGAAGAUUCCUUCGGGAUGAUUCCUUAGUGACUUAGCGGCGGACGGGUGAGUAACGCGUGGGCAACCUGCCUUGUACAGGGGGAUAACAGUUAGAAAUGACUGCUAAUACCGCAUAAGCGCACAGCAUGGCAUCAUGCAGUGUGAAAAACUCCGGUGGUACAAGAUGGGCCCGCGUUGGAUUAGCUUGUUGGUGGGGUAACGGCCCACCAAGGCGACGAUCCAUAGCCGGACUGAGAGGUCGAACGGCCACAUUGGGACUGAGACACGGCCCAGACUCCUACGGGAGGCAGCAGUGGGGAAUA
Molecule: ribosomal RNA, 362 nt
Filed under: uncultured rumen bacterium
Lineage: Bacteria
Description: bacterial SSU rRNA
Rfam family: Bacterial small subunit ribosomal RNA
Source: RNAcentral